AGAGUUUGAUCCUGGCUCAGGAUGAACGCUAGCUACAGGCUUAACACAUGCAAGUCGAGGGGCAGCAUGUUGGUUGCUUGCAACCAACGAUGGCGACCGGCGCACGGGUGAGUAACGCGUAUCCAACCUACCCUUGUCCAUCGGAUAACCCGUCGAAAGGCGGCCUAACACGAUAUGCGGUUCACAGCAGGCAUCUAACGUGAACGAAAUGUGAAGGAGAACCCCCGGAUGGGGAUGCGUCUGAUUAGCUUGUUGGCGGGGUAACGGCCACCAAGGCUACGAUCAGUAGGGGUUCUGAGAGGAAGGUCCCCCACAUUGGAACUGAGACACGGUCCAAAAUCCUACGGGAGGCA
RNAcentral lists this ribosomal RNA (353 nucleotides) under uncultured bacterium. RNAcentral's name for it is "bacterial SSU rRNA". It matches the Rfam family "Bacterial small subunit ribosomal RNA", at positions 8 to 350 of the family's 1533-position model. The record is from RNAcentral.